CGCCCGUCGCUCCUACCGAUUGGGUGUGCUGGUGAAGAGUUCGGAUUGGUGGCCGGGGGCGGUUUCCGCUUCCGGCCGUCGAGAAGUUCUUUAAACCCUCCCACCUAGAGGAAGUAAAAGUCGUAACAAGGUUUCC
Molecule: ribosomal RNA, 136 nt
Filed under: uncultured Trebouxiophyceae
Lineage: Eukaryota; Viridiplantae; Chlorophyta; Trebouxiophyceae
Description: partial small subunit ribosomal RNA
Rfam family: Eukaryotic small subunit ribosomal RNA
Source: RNAcentral